GGAGAGAUGGCCGAGUCUGGUUGAUGGCGCUCGACUCGAAAUCGAGUAGGGGUAAUUCCCUCGGGGGUUCGAAUCCCUCUCUCUCCGCCC
Molecule: transfer RNA, 90 nt
Filed under: Armatimonadetes bacterium CG07_land_8_20_14_0_80_40_9
Lineage: Bacteria; Bacillati; Armatimonadota
Description: tRNA-Ser
Rfam family: tRNA
About the family: Transfer RNA (tRNA) molecules are approximately 80 nucleotides in length.
Source: RNAcentral